RNAcentral lists this long non-coding RNA (3961 nucleotides) under Lactuca sativa (garden lettuce). RNAcentral's name for it is "long non-coding RNA (LSAT_LNC001262)". The record is from RNAcentral. Lineage: Eukaryota; Viridiplantae; Streptophyta; Magnoliopsida; Asterales; Asteraceae.
GGAAAAAUAAAUAAUAUAAUUAUAAUGAUGUUUAAAUUUAAACAAUUAUACAUUGAAUUUCAAAAUCAUUAUAUUACUCAUAAACAUAUGAUCUAUGUAUAAAAUGUGUAUAAUUAAAAAUAUCCAAGUAUUAUGUGAUAUGUAUUUUAAUCAUAUACCCAAAUGUUUAUCGGUGGGUAUCUACUAGCUCUCAAGAAAAUUUUUGAGUUCAUUCACAUGUUGAAUAUAUCAUAAAAAUCUUGCUAAAUCUACUCCAAAUCUUUAAAAUACAAUACAUAUCUAAUAAAAUUUGAUGUUAGUACAAAGAGAUCAAACAAAAAAAUAUCAGCAACAUAUCACUCUACUACUCUCGAUCUCUCAUUCUCUAGAUCUUCCUUUUGAAGCCAAAACAGAGAACCAAGGAGGUUGUUACCCUCCUUUCAUCCAGUUUCCUUCCACCUGCAAUUGUCGAGGUUAGCAAGUCCAAACACUCUUUACCUGUUGCUGAUCACUGUUGUCUUCCCCGAUCACCAAAAACAGCUCACCGGCAAGGGGUUGUCACCGGAUGAAGUAAGCUAGUGAGUAUCGGCUGUCACCUCCCCCUCCGGUUGAUGAAACACCCAUUCCCUUCGUUACCAUCAGUUUCCCAGUAAAACCCAAACACCCUAAUGACUUCUAUCAAUCGAUCAAUCAAUAAGAAAAAGAAGAAGGAACCUGGGAAGCUGUCGGCCAUGGCAGCCCUCCUCCUCCUCCUCUGCCUUCCACUGUCGUCUAGCACCACCUAAACACCCCAGCUAAUGGUUUCCGAUCGGCAGCAAGCUAAUCACCAAACACCACUCCACCAUCGAUGGUUGUUGCUUUUGUUCCGUUGACUUCUGCGGUCGGCGAUGAGAAAGGAGCACGAGGACUCGCCGGAGACUGACCGCUGCUACGAUUUGUCGCCGGAGAAACCCACACCCUUCCUCCCUCGUUCUUCCUGUCGAUCAAACAACUCAAAACGAACCCCUACAGUUGCUUCUUCCUUCUUCGUGUGUGGCUGUCGAACGGACCAGAGAUGAAGAAACGAUGAGGAAGUCGCCGGAGCAACUCCUUCGCCACCACUGCUGUUGACAACAGCCACCACCGAACCACUCUUUUGCUUUCAUUCCCUUUUUCUUCUUCGAUCGGACACAAAGGAGAUGAAGACGACCUAAUCGAAAUUGGAGAUCACCGGAGAUCGACCCCAAUACCCUCCUCGCCGAUUACGUUCUUCACAGCUCCGAUUUGUUGGCUUUGCCGUUCCUUUUGCUUGGUCGGAUGAACGAUUGGAGAAGAAGAGGCGUCGACUCCCUUUUACCCAAACUGUGUAUCAGAUUGGCAGAAACAGUCCCUCCAUUAUAGCCUUGAACCUUAAAUCAGUCCCUUAAGUGGAAACCUUACAAAAAAAGUCUUGUGUGACUUAAGAUUUAUUAAAAUAGUCCCUUUUUAAUUAACUUAUCACAAAUCAGUCCUUGUGAUAAUUAAAUUACAAAAUAAUUUUCUUGUGAAAAUAAAAAGUAUUUCAAAACAUGUCCCUUUGACUUAAAAUAUUAUAAAAAUUGUCUCGGACCAUGUUUUAACUCAAAAGACGUCAAGAUGCGGUUAUUCACGAAAAGCUUCACCAAGAAGGACCGGGAUCGGACUCACGCUUCAAGGGUGAGUUUCUACGGCCCCUCUUUUACUGUUUUAAUAUUUUGGGGGAGAAUAUAUGUGUGUCUAUUAAAGUUUGAUGAUUUUCAAGUUUUAUAUACAAAAUAGCAUCAUAUUUUAUUAUUGGUCAAAAGUUUUUAUGAUAUAGCAAUCUAAAAUUGUGAUAAAUCACCAAUAAAUCUAUUAAGUUAAAAUGGAUUGUUAAAAGAUGAUAUAUUUAUACUAUACGUAAAAUAUAAAUAUAGAUAUUGAGAAAAUUCUUAAGAUUAUAAGUAGAUUGCUAAAAUAACACAUGUUGAUAUUAUAAGUCACACGAAUCAUGAUUGUAUAUGUAUAAGUUAAAGUAUCUCAUGGAAACACGGAAAGGUAUAAAAAUGACCAAAACUUAUUAUUCGCGUAUAAAGCGAAAGUACAUUGUCAUAAUUGAUGGAAUGAUUAAAUUCAUGAAUAUAUGAUUAUUAGUUAAAAUUAUAAGAUUUAACUUUUAAUACAUAUAUAAGGUUAUGUAUAAAUGAAGUGAGAAUUUAUUAAUAUAUUUUUAUAUUAAUUAUAACAACAUAACUUCAUUAUACUAAGUUAUUUAUUCUUAUCACAACAAAUAACAUGAUCGACUUCAGAGCUUAAGAGUCGCUAUUUACGAAAUAAAUAAUUGUCGAGUAUUGUAUUUAAAGACUUUAUCUUUAUCCCAAAUUAAAUGUAUUAAAAUUAUUCUCGGAUAAUUCAUAUAAAAUAUGGGGAAUAUAGAACUACGGUCGAUCCAAACUUGGAUAAAUUCAAAAAUUAGCUAUUAUGCUAAUACAACAUCGAAACCGUAUCUAAUAUGAUAAAUUCUUGAAGUUAUGAGAAUUUCAGUUAUCGUUUUCCUAAACGGUGAAUAAUGUUACAUAUCCAAUGAAUUUAGAAUGGAUUAUAUAGGUUCAUUAUACAUAUUGUAUGUAGGUUCAGCAUACCUACCCCAUGUAUUCCGUAUAGAUUUAUCAUACCUAUUCCAUGUAGGUUCAUCAUACCUACCCCAUGUAUUCCGUAUAGGUUCAUCAUACAUAUUCCAUGUAGGUUCACAUACCUACUNAUAGGUUCAUCAUACCUAUUCCAUGUAGGUUCAUCAUACAUACUUCAUAUAUUCCAUAUAGGUUCAUCAUACCUAUUCUAUAGGUUCAUCAUACCUAUUCUGAAUACCAUAUCCAAUACGUUUGAGUUUCCAUUAUAAACUAUUCCGAGUUUCGUGAAAGCUAAGAUGUAAAUACUUAGUAGAAACUCUCCAAUAUAUAACCGUUAAUCCUCAAGGGAAUGACUAACGUCGGGUCUAAGUGUCAUAUUAUUGAUCUUAUACGGUACGACCGCCCGCCUGGAGUUGCUAGCUACAACUACAUCUGACGAGAUGAAUUUUGGCGCUGACGUUAGCAUUAUCGAAACAUUACCACGUGUUACAACGAGGUGAAUGACUUUAGCACGCGCGCCUUAUUAUGGUGUCGGUGCAUUAAUAAAGUACAGUGUCACGAGUUCGGUUAUGAUUUCAUUAUAAAAUCCCAAUUUUGUUUCGUUAUCGUAUAGAAUCGAUAUUGGAUUUAUACGAGGUUUAUGUCCACUCAUUCCAGUUGAAAGAAACUAUAUUCAGUGGGAUUGCUUGUGACUCAAAGCGAUAAGUUUCAGUACCAAAACUUAAGUCAGAUAACACUUAAUUAAUAUCAUGACACGGCUCCGACAAGAUUUAUUAACUCACAUAAAUGAGUUAUUUAUAUAAACCAUUUGUCUUUAUAGUAAAACACAAUAUUUACUUGGGAGGAGUUUUCCCCACCGGUUAAGUGUCGAUUUUCAAAUUAAGUCAGAUAAUACUUAAUUAUUAUCACGACACGAUUUUACAAAGUUCAUAAAUUCAAUACUUAUGAGUUUUUCAUAUAAAUGAUACAAAUUUUUGUAUAAGGUUUCAAGAGUGAAGUUGGUUAUUUUAUGUUCUCACAAAGGGUAACAUUUCCUAUUUUAUAUAAUCCGAUAUUCAAAAUCUUUAUAUAAAAAUGCAUUUUGAUAUAAGUCUGAAUUACUUAUAUGUAUUUUCCAACUUUUGUACAUUUGGAUUUGAACAAAUGGUAUUUAUGAAUGAGUCAUAACACAUUGUUAUAACUCAAUUAUUUUAUACUUUUAAUAGAAAAGUAAACAUUUAUAAAAGCUAGUCAACCAGCUAAAUUUUAUCAAACACUUUUGGGUAUAAAAAUACUCUGUGUCAAAACCUGUAGAACUCACCAACAAUUUUGUUGACGUAUUUUAAUGCAUGUAUUCUCAGGUUAUUUAGCAGGUCGGAAGUGUUCGCUCAGAAAAC